CGGCCCCGCCCGCUGCUCCCGCCUCGCUCCUCCCUCCUACCCUGGCCCUACCUCGCCCGCUCCACGCACCUGCCUCUAGUUUUGCUACAUUCUACUCCCCUGAAAAUCAGCGCAUUUCCACCAGUUUUUCAACUAGAUCAAUGCGAAGUUGUUUCUAAUCUCACCACUAAUGCUUUUCACGUCUGGGACUGGCGAUGUCCUCCCUUCACAUCUGUGAGGUUGGUUACGCGCGCCUCUGCCCACUCUGCAGGCCUGGCGAGGUGCCUCCACGCUCUUCAUUGGUUGAAGGAAUUUCUCUUGAGUGGAAUUGCUGGGCUAUAGCGUCCGUGGCAUGCUUCUUUAGGAGAUGCUUGUUGAUCCCCUCGCCUCCCAGCCCCACUCUGCAUUUGACUGAUCAACAAGUGGGAAAGGUGUAAUGAAGUCUCUCUGUCUCCCAUCGUGGCCAGCAAGGCUCCAGAGCGGGAAUCUACCUCAGCGGCCUGCCUGCCCCGGGUGUGGACGGUGUUGCAGCAAGCUCUGCACAGCCCUGCCCCUCGCCACUCUACUCUGGCACUGGGCACCCCUUACUGCUGCCUCACCUGCCGGUGUUCCCCUAUCCGCUUCCCCCCUUCUUUGUUCUUCCUCAUCUCCAUGGCUCCUUUGGUGGUAGGGUCCUAGGGCUCAGCCUCCCCCCAGCUUCCUCACUCCUCAGGGCACCUUGCUGCUCGGCCUCAGGCAGGCUUGGGCCCAGCUGUGCCCUCCAGCUGCCCACCGGAUGUUCCACUCAAGUGGCUGUUUGGACUGACCAGAUUGCCUGACGUGCCCACCUGUAUCUCUCAUUGUCUCCUGUCACCAGAAGUGGCACCUCACUUCCUCCCUGGCCUCAGAAGCACAAGUCAGACCUACCAACCACUCCUUGUCGCCCACGGCCAAGGCCUAAGUGCCCUAGAGCCCUCCACACUGGCAAACCCAAGCACAUGCCUGGAGCUCUGCGUCAUGGCUUCCUGCUCAGGCUGAUGAACACGUCAUAACAGCUGCUCACACCAGAUGCUUCGGAGUCAUCCCUGGCCUUCUUUCUUGUGUUCCUCCUCUAAUCCUUAGUAAAUCCUGGCUGUAUUUUCUUCAAAAUACAUCUAGAACCCGCCCCAUCCCCCACCAGGCCAGAGUGGGUGGUGCAAAGCGGCUGCAGGCUUUACUCUCUGUGGCAGCCGGGGGGGUCCCAUAAAAUAAGUCAGGUGUCACAAGACUCCUCUACCUGCCACACACAGUGAAACCGGAGGCCUCAGGCUGCCUGCCCACUUCCUCUCUGGCCUGUGCUCCUUUCUCCCUCUCAACUUCAGCCAGCUCUCUAAAGGAGCCAGAACCAUCCGUCACACGCAGCACCUGCUCCUCACGGCCCCUUUCAGGAGAACAGGCACCCCGUCUGCUCAGCACCUGGUACUUUGGGGGCACUGGGUCAACUCUGUUCGGUGAAGAAGUGAAUUCACUCAGGAGUUCAGGCCCAGAACGCCAGGCUCAUCCUUGCUGCUUUCUUUUGCCUCCCUCCCUCCUCCUUCACCCCACAUCUAAAGAGUUAGCAGAUCCCCAGGCUCUGCUUUCUAAGCAGCCUGUGCUCUGCCCCCCACAUGCCCUGGUGUGUCACGGCCACCGCCCUCCUGUAGUGCUACACUGCAGCCGGAGCACGCCUUUUAAACUAGCCACUUGGCCAUGAAAUGUCUGUUUUCUGAGCUCUGUCCCAAGCCCAGAACAGUGAGUGGCCCACAGCUGAUGUCCAGCAGCCCACUUGGGAAGCUCUAUGUUGGAUGCCUUCAUGCAGCACCCAAUUGGGUCCUCCCAGCAGCAGGGGAGGCACCAACAGAGUCACCCCUUUUCAGACAAGGGCGCCAAAGCUCAGGCUGAGAUGCCACUGCUGAGGCUCCCAGACCUCAGGGCCCAGUUUUGGCUCCGCCCCGUGAGAAUACACAUCUCUGUAGGGAAGGCAUGGAGAAGGGAUAAGGGCAAGCUGACCUGCCCCCCCCACCGGCAGGACCUCUGGACCCCAGGAGCUCCUCACACUCUAAGCCUGCACCAUCACUGACCAGGCUCCCCUCUGCCUGCCACCUCCCCCGCUCUGGUCCACCUGAACUGCCCGACAGCACCAGACACAUAUCCCUCGAUGGCUGCAUGGUUCCUAGCAAGGAGAGGGGCCUCCCCUGCCCUGCACACCAGCCCUGACUCUGUCCUGGGACAGAUGGCGUGUCCCCGGACCUGUCCCCAGCUGCUGACUGGCUCGGCCCCGCGGGCGCGGGCCUGGCUGGAGUGGAUCAGCGGAGCGUGAGUCGAGCUCACCUGCUCGCAGAGGGAGCGCAGGCCCAUGUCAUCGAGGCGGUCCAGCUCAAAGGUCUCCCCCAGCAUGGGGUUGAAGGGCUUGGCGAUGCGGUGCACAGUGGUGGAGUAGGAGGACACGGAGAAGGCGGCCACCAGGCACAUCUGCUCCACCGAGCUGGUGCAGUGCACCGCCUUGUCCAGCAGGUGGUGGUACUCCAGGUCCUCCGUCAGCCGCUGGAGCAUGGACAGGGGCUCGUUAAAGUUGACCUGCGGACAGGCAGCGGUCAGGUGCGGCUCCGGCCCCAGGUCGGCAGGCACCGUCACUGGCUCCGGUGUCGGGGGCACCGCUGCUAGGGGGCGCUUUCACCGUGAGUUUCCUCUGCUCUAAAGCCCUGUUCCAACCCACUGCUCCCUGCACGCUCCUCCCCAGCGCCUCCGGCCUCAGUUUCUCCACAGCCUCACCGCUUUCUGACCUGCUCUAUCUCGUACCCUGGCGCUGGUGGUUACUGUCACUCUCCCCUCCGAGGAUGGGAAUGCCACAGACGCCCGCGUUUCUGACUUGGUCCGCAGAGUCAGAGUCAGUGAGUGGAUGGGUGGGUGGAUGAGGGGGUCUUCCUUCUGAGCUGUUCUGCUGGGUUUCUGGUAAAGUUCCUGUAGGUGGCCCCCCAUCCUGGCCUCGGACAGGGACGACCCAGACACUGUCGUGUGGCCUCUGUGACCCUCCCCGCUUUGCAGAUGUGGACACACAGGCCAUAGCCGUGACGGGGCUUGGCCCCAGGGCACACAGUGAAACCAAGUCUGGCCGGAACCCAAAGCUCUUCCUCCCCGGAGAUGCCAUCGCAGCCUGGUGGCACGAGGAGGCCGGCUCUACCCUCACUGUGUGACCUCACUGGCAUGGGCACCAGAGACCACUCUGGGCACAGGGGACGGCCCAGCCCUGCUGCCUCCUUCUACGAGGAUGGGGCAGCCAGGAUACUAUGAAGCCCUGCCAGGGGCAGAGGUGCUCUCUGGGGGUCCCCACGCCCCCCCUUAGCUCCUUCCCCCAGAGCCUGAAACCUCUGUUCUCAGGGGGAUUUUGGCAACGUCGUUGAACAUGAUUUGAUCAUUUGUUACAUGCUCCUCCGGUGUCAUUAAGAAAAUAACACCUGGGCUGCUUGUACUUCUCAGAGGCCAGGACCUCUCCCCCACGCACACCAAGAGCCCGCGGAGCCUGCUGCGGCUGCCGGCCCCAGCCCGUACCGGCAUGGGGAUCUUGGAGAGCUCCCGGCCGAUGCAGUUCUUCAUGAUGCUCCAGAGAUUAAGGCUGUAGUUGGGUUUGUCAGGAAUGCGGACACGCCUCUUGACUUUGGGGGGGCCCUUGGGCACAAGCGAGGCGCCAUCUAGCACCUGCCAGAGAGAAUGCGGCUGCUAGCGGAGGCCGGGGCGCCCCUCCAGCCCUCCAGCCCUGGCCCUACCUCCACCCAGUGCAGUCCGAGGACCGAGCUGGCCACUGGCGAGUUGCUGGCGCAGCAGCAGGCUGAUUGCCCGACCGGUCAGACCAGGGUGUGGGCAGCCAGGGCACCGAGGCCACCCCCAGGGGCCCAGAGCCCACGGUGCCAGCCUGCCCUCCAGACACACUUGGGGUCUCCCCUCACUUGCAUUGUCUGAUGAGGUCCAGUCCACUGAGCCUGUGGUCCCACCCUCUGCUUUUCUGAAGAAACACAAAAAAGGGGAGGCAAGUUAUUUACAAAUCCUGAGGCGUCCUGGGGACCUAGCCAGACCCCUCAUGAGGUGCAAGGGGCGCCCCACCCCAGGGCUGCUUCUCCAAGGGGACAUCUCCCGUUUGGGACAUUCAACUGGGCUGAAGGCCUGGGGCAGUGAUUGGAGGGGCUCCCAUGCACUGAUGCCCCGUAGGAGGAGCCACUUCAGCAAAGUGGCCCGAAGUCUCUGCAUACAGCCCCCUCCUGGGACUGGCUGACCCAGGUCCUGGAUGAAGCUGGGGGUGGCCAUUUCCUCUGGCAGAGCUGCCUAGGGACCUCCCAGCCCCCUCCAUCAGAGACAGGCCCUGCUGUGUCCCCACUGUCUGCUGGUCUGACUCUCGCACUAGACCUGGGUUCCAGAAGGGCAGGAAGUGGGUCAGAUACAUCCCUGUGCCUGCAAAUACUUAUGGUGAGAUGGUUGGCCAGAGCAGUGACGGGGGUGCUAUGGCUGAGGGGCCCAAGGACAGGGCACCUGGGCCAGCUGGGGCAAGGGACAGGCACUUGGCAGUCAGGGUCUCAGGAAAUGGGGAGAAUUCACUGGGGCAUUAGGGCAAGGGGCCCCCUUGGCAGAAGCCCCAGCCGCAGCCCAGAGUGGCUAACAACCAGGGAAGGUGGCACUUUGAGCCUUGCGGCUGUGUCAGGAGGCUAGGGAACCAGUGAAGAGUGUUGAGCACAGGGGUCACCUACUUGCUGGUCGGGUGGCAGCAGAGAGGCCUGGGGCUGUUGGCUGAGGUGUGGAAGGUGGCCUGGAUGGGGGUGCAAAGGAGGACACAAAGCCCAGGCCCCAGGGGACUCCAGGAUUGGGAGAGGUGGGCAGGGAGCCAGAGGGGCCCGAGAGGGUGACAUUGCUGGGUAAUAAAGUGAAAGGAAAUUCAGAAUAGCCAAGUCCAGCUCAUUUUGAGAGUAAUAUAAGCAAAUUUUGAAAUAUUAUUGGGAAGUGGGCCGUGAUUGAGUUGGAAAUACGCUGUUGAUCGGACUAGAAACUUCAUGAGGGGUUAGAAAGAAACCAGGACAUGGGGGUGGUGAUGCGUCAGUCCACAGAGGCCAAAAAUGUGUGGCCAGGGGUUUUAAUUGCCCUCUUCCCACACCUCCCCUGGACUGGGCUUCAGGGAGCCCACGGAAGGCAGUGUGGGUUGUGAUGGACAGCAGAACAGAUGC
Canis lupus familiaris (dog) is the source of this 5183-nucleotide long non-coding RNA. RefSeq lists it as uncharacterized. NCBI's taxonomy places the organism in Eukaryota, Metazoa, Chordata, Mammalia, Carnivora, Canidae. The transcript has 4 exons. The record is from RefSeq and is a predicted model, not a curated record.